CACUGCACCGGGAUCGUGCCACUGCACUCCAGCCUGAGCGACAGACUCCGUCUCACCAAAAAAAAAAGUAAAAUAAAAAUGUAGGAAGAGCAUUCUCAGAGAAGCUCAGUUCCAACCUUCAACCUCAAUUUUUUAUCACCUUAUGUUUUUUAUUUAGGGAAUGUGUAUUGGAGAAAAAAUAACAGAGUCUGGCUAAAGAGAUGAAGAGCUCAUGAGGGCGUGUCUCAAUUUAAACAAGAGUAGCAUUGGCAAUUGUUGUCCUUAGCAGCAGCCGACAAGGCGGAAUUGGAAUGGUGCUGCUCCUGACUACCUCUACUCCACGCUAGGCUUAGGGGCUGGAGUGACCCAAGCCCUCAGGUUGGAUUUUUUUUCCCCAGGACCUGCAGCGGCUGAAGUCCUCUCAGCACCUGCAAUAUCCCAGAGGGCAAAGACAGGGCCAAAUACUGGAUUCUGGAUUCUCUUCAUUGUUGUCCCCCUGCAAGUGGAGAGGUAUCCAGGCUGGGCCUUGUCCUAAGAUAUGACGGAACUGAAUUCUUCCAGCAAGCAUGUGAGCUUGGAAGAGAACACCAUGCGCCACACGAGAAUGCAUACUGGCCAACACCCUGUGCAAAGAUCCAGAGAAGCUGUGCUCAGACUCCUGACUCAUGAAAAUAGUGAACUUAUAAAUGUAUAUUGUUUUAAGAUGCUAAAUUUGUGGUGAUGUGUUACAUGGCAAUAGAAAACUAAUAGAGAUAAAACUUGACAUUUGAAGUGCAUCACAUAAUGAAAUUAGUAGAUGAGAAUCUCUCUAGAAACAAGUAAAAUUUUGAGUUAAAAUGAGAGACUGGACAUAUAAUUCCUCCUCCCUCCAAAAUCCCAGGAAAUGAGUAGUUAAAAAAAUUUUUUUUUAAUUUUACAAGAUAAGAACAACAAGCAGAGAUACUUGAAGUAGGGGCUGGUUCUUCUUCACUCCCUUUGUUAUAUAACUGAACUUCCUCACACUUGAGAAGUACAUUUCCCUGCUCCUUGACUUUCAACUCAGCCAUGUGGCUUGCUUUGGCCAAUGAGUUAUAGGUAGACGUGAUGUGACCAGAGGUUUAGAACUCAUCACUGAUCUUGAAACCACCUUUGCAAAAUUAUGACUGAGACAGUGAAACAGAUCUAACUUAGCCAACUCCGUCUUCUUCCAACCUGCAGGCUGUGCUUGUUCAUUCUGGGUGUAGGCUGAACUAACUUUGGGAGAAACUUAGUUUAUAGUUUAAAACAAAGAUGAUAACAGCCCUUUCCCAAAGCAGACCUUCUUCUUGCCUGGGGACUAGAUUGCCUUUGUAGGACUGACAGUAGCCACGAGAUUAGAAAUUAUGAUUUAGGAAUCGUGCAGCUGGAGGCUACAAGAUUCUGACCCUCCCUAAAUUGCUCCUAAGAUCAAUGCUUGAGAUAUUUUGCAGACCCUGCACUUGAUGGCACCACUCAGAUCAAUAAACUGGCUCAUCUGAUCUUGUGGCCCCUUACCCAGGAACUGACUCAUCACAAGAAGACAGCUUCAACUCCCUAUGAUUUCAUCUUUGACCAAUCAGCACUCCUGGCUCACCGGCUUCCCACACACCCACCAAGUUGUUCUUAAAAACUCUGCUCUCCGAAUGCUCGGGGAGACUGAUUUGAGUAAUAAUAAAACUCUGUUCUCCCACACAGCCGGCUCUGUGUGAAUAACUCUUUCUCUAUUGCAAUUCCCCUGUCUUGAUAAAUUGUCUCAGUCUAGGCAGCAGGCAAGGUGAGCCCACUGUGCAGUUACAAUCUUGCCUUUUAUGCUUCUACCAUCACUAUGUGAAGAGCUGCACUGGCUAGCAUUCUGGUCCAAUUGGAGUGGGAAAGACAUUGAGUAGAUCUGGACAACCUGCUGCUUAGAACAUAUCCCAGCUAAGCUCAACAUGGAUUAAAUGACCCCAGGUUAAUGUGCAAACAUCUGAGAGAAAAUAAAUGAUUGUUUUCUUAAGCCACCAAUAUUUUCAGUUGUUAUUCAGUAACAUUGUGAAAAGAGGUGACUAAUACAAGAGAAGAAACAACAGUAAAAAAAAUUUGGACGUGUAAAAGCAGAUGGUAAUGUCCACUUUCAUUUCUGACAGUAUAACAUAUCAAAACUAAUGCCAGUUCUAGAACUGAGACAUAAAACAUCUAAAAUUAAAAAUGUAAUAGGUGGUUUUGAAAGCGGAGAAGAGGAUUAUUGAAUUGGAA
RNAcentral lists this long non-coding RNA (2211 nucleotides) under Homo sapiens (human). RNAcentral's name for it is "HSALNT0100369". Lineage: Eukaryota; Metazoa; Chordata; Mammalia; Primates; Hominidae. The record is from RNAcentral.